RNAcentral lists this ribosomal RNA (425 nucleotides) under uncultured bacterium. Its description in RNAcentral is "partial 16S ribosomal RNA". It matches the Rfam family "Bacterial small subunit ribosomal RNA", at positions 354 to 796 of the family's 1533-position model. The record is from RNAcentral.
GUGGGGAAUCUUAGACAAUGGGCGCAAGCCUGAUCUAGCCAUGCCGCGUGAGCGAUGAAGGCCUUAGGGUUGUAAAGCUCUUUCGUGGGGGAAGAUAAUGACUGUACCCCAAGAAGAAGCCCCGGCUAACUCCGUGCCAGCAGCCGCGGUAAUACGGAGGGGGCUAGCGUUGUUCGGAAUUACUGGGCGUAAAGCGCACGUAGGCGGACCAGAAAGUCAGAGGUGAAAGCCCGAGGCUCAACCCCGGAACUGCCUUUGAAACUCCUGGUCUUGAGGUCGAGAGAGGUGGGUGGAAUUCCGAGUGUAGAGGUGAAAUUCGUAGAUAUUCGGAGGAACACCAGUGGCGAAGGCGGCCCACUGGCUCGAUACUGACGCUGAGGUGCGAAAGCGUGGGGAGCAAACAGGAUUAGAAACCCCAGUAGUCC